AAGCUUUGUAAUUUAUAUAAAAUAUUUACCUUGAAAGUAAAAUAAGAAACCUCCAUUGCUUCGCU
Molecule: transfer RNA, 65 nt
Filed under: Trioza anthrisci
Lineage: Eukaryota; Metazoa; Arthropoda; Insecta; Hemiptera; Triozidae
Description: tRNA-Ser
Source: RNAcentral